Long non-coding RNA from Xenopus laevis (African clawed frog), 1943 nucleotides. RefSeq lists it as uncharacterized. The record is from RefSeq and is a predicted model, not a curated record. The transcript is spliced from 2 exons. NCBI's taxonomy places the organism in Eukaryota, Metazoa, Chordata, Amphibia, Anura, Pipidae.
UAGACCAAUCAGGUGGCACGCGGGAAGCCACUUUGGUGAUUUAGCCAAUGAAAUGUAUCCUUGCUCACUGAGCCACGCCCCCAUAUCUAUCCUCUUGUCCUGCAGGCUUGAGGGAGAGACAGUGAGUCGGUGUGAGGUACAGAAUGAGGAAAGUGAGGAAGGGGAUUCCAACAGAGGCGCGAGUAAUAGGGGGAGACUAUGAGGGACUGGACGGAUAGACAAGGGAAUGGGGAGCUGCAGUCAGAGGCCUGUGGCCAAAGGCUUUAUAUACUUAUAUUUAUAUACUUUAUUCAAGUCACAUGUUUUUUUCCUUCUGUCAGAGUGAAUUUAGCCAACGACCCCAACAGCACGUGUUAGAGCUCAGCAGGUGUGAGUGUUAGAGUUGAGCAGGUUCGAGAGUUCUGCAAGUGUUAGAGCUCAGCAGGUGUGAGAGUUCCACAGGUGUUAGAGCUCACCAGGUGUGAGUGUUAGAGUUGAGCAGGUUCGAGAGUUCUGCAAGUGUUAGAGCUCAGCAGGUGUGACAGUUCCACAGGUGUUAGAGCUCAGCAGAUGUGAGUGUAAGAGUUGAGCAGGUUCGAGAGUUCUGCAAGUUUUAGCGCUCAGCAGGUGUUAGAGCUCAGCAGAUGUGAGUGUUAAGAUGGCCAUAGACACAAAGAUUCGAUCGUAUGAAUCAUCGUACAAUCAGACUUCCCCAUCUCCCGACCUGCCACUUACCAUUCCGAUCAAAUUCCUUCCAUCUCCAAGUCCCAUUACCAACCCAUUCACCCACACGAGGUCCCCUACCGGAGGUUAGACGGUAGUGACACAACGGUCAAUAGGCAACAGCGGGUAACUUAUCUAGUCAAAGUGCAAGCCUUCGCCUCAAAGUGUCUUCCCAGCAGCUAAUUGGUAGCUAUGGAUUGUUACAUGGAGAAUGCCCCUCCGUGUUCUGUAGAUCUACAACCCCUUCACCUACAGAGCAUCCCCUUCCAGAGGUAACAAGCCGAACUCAUGCAGCCGUGAGAACAGUUGGAUUGUCUGCCUGCCUGUAGUGCUUCCCUAGGAUCUGAAGCACUUUCCGGUGUCUGGGUAACGAUCAACGUCAACUACCCCUUCUUAAACCAAUGAAGCCAACACAAAACAUCCCUCCCGUUAAGGUGGUAAUCUUUUGCCCCUAUGAGUCUUUUUCAGACGCCCUGCCCAACCGUUAUUAAAAAGAUGCGCAUUUUGCCUGCUUGCAUGUGGGCUUUGUCAACGGCUGUGAGAGUUAGAGUUCAUCAGGUGUUAGAGUUCACCAGGAGCCAAAGUUGUCAAAUUCCAGCUUGUUUCAUUCGUUGUGACUUCCUUUGUCGCCAGCUCUGAUCCUAGAUUCCCGUUUCUCGGCACCCGUCCCACAUUGGAGUGUUAGUCAGAGACCAGACGAUGUGAUGGAUAUUUGAUUAUACCUGAAAUAAUGACCCAGAGCUGUUUCCAUGGUUGGGCCUUUGGUUCCAGUGAAAUCUUAAAGCUACAUGGAACAAGGAUAUUCCGGAUAAUUCCAUGCUUCCUACUUUGUUUCCUACUACUGUUUCAGCACAUUAAUGCCCCCCCCCCCAUGCAAAGAGCCAGGUCCCUACAGAAUGGGUUUUCCGGAGAUGGUAAGAACCUGACUGCACAGAGGCACGAAAAGAGGAAAAACACGACCUCAAAUUUUAAUAAAUGUGUUCCUUAGAUGAUUAUAUACCAAGGAUCCCAGUUUAAUGCAUCUGUAAAGCCAAAUUACCUCUGAAUUUUCCCAACAUUAACUGGAUCGGCGCAAAUCAUUGACCACCAGACUUUGUUACCGGAAAACAGAUUUAUCAAAGACAAAUUUUUCUAAAGCAGCUUGUGACUUAGAAGAUCACAGAAACAUUCAGAACAUCUCAUGAAGGUGCUUGUUUGACGGACGAGAAACAUUGAAGCUUAAAAACUAGGCCAAAAAAACA